AUUGCUUCUUGGCCUUUUGGCUAAGAUCAAGUGUGGUACUUGUUGCAUUUCCAACUUACGUGUCAUGUCACAAAAGGGCUACAAUCAUUUUCCUGAUGUAAAGUCCCCAUGAUGUCAUAUCAUGCAAAGGAAAUAAAAUAUAAGCAGCUCUAAUCUUCCUUUCCAGCCUGCU
Molecule: small nuclear RNA, 172 nt
Filed under: Mus musculus (house mouse)
Lineage: Eukaryota; Metazoa; Chordata; Mammalia; Rodentia; Muridae
Also listed under: 1 other name
Description: U2 spliceosomal RNA
Source: Rfam by way of RNAcentral